This is an RNA transcript of Odocoileus virginianus texanus, 1169 nucleotides long. It is a transcript of the gene named mitochondrial ribosomal protein S22, with no coding region annotated. Lineage: Eukaryota; Metazoa; Chordata; Mammalia; Artiodactyla; Cervidae. The record is from RefSeq and is a predicted model, not a curated record.
GGCCCGGAUAAUCAUGGCGACUCUCAGAGUGUCUUUAUUGCUGUGGAAUCUCCAUGCAGGUUCUCGGGGUGCUGAGCGAGUCUAUUUCCGGGCCCGCGCUCGGCCCCGGCCCGACUGCCUGUUCCAGCCUCUGCCCGGGGUCUGCGGGGCGGGAACACCAUGCCGUGGGCUCUGUUCCGAGGCCGAAUCUGGUAGCCCAAAGAUCAAGAAACCUACUUUUAUGGAUGAGGAAGUCCAAAGCAUACUCAUCAAGAUGACAGGCUUGGAUUUACUGAAGAUUUUUAAGCCAGCAAUACGAGAAACGAAGCCACCAACUUACAAACUAAUGACCCAGGCACAGUUGGAAGAGGCUACAAGACAGGCGAUUGAGGCAGCUAAAGUCCGAUUAAAAAUGCCACCAGUUCUGGAAGAGCGAACACCAAUAAAUGAUGUGUUAGCUGAAGAUAAGAUAUUGGAAGGAACCGAAACAGUCAAAUACGUGUUUACUGAUAUAUCAUACAGCAUACCACAUCGAGAGCGUUUUAUUGUUGUCAGAGAACCAAGUGGCACACUACGCAAAGCCUCUUGGGAAGAACGGGACCGUAUGAUUCAAAUUUAUUUCCCAAAAGAAGGCCGUAGAGUUUUAACACCAGUAAUUUUCAGGGAAGAAAAUCUUCAGACCAUGUACAGUCAGGACCGGCAUGUUGAUGUCCUCAAUCUCUGCGUUGCCCAGUUUGAGCCAGAUUCUGCUGACUAUAUCAAAAUUCAUCAUCAGACCUAUGAAGAUAUAGAUAAAUAUGGAAAGUAUGACCUUUUACGUUCAACAAGACACUUCGGUGGUAUGGCUUGGUAUUUUGUAAAUAAGAAAAAGAUCGAUGGUUUAUUGAUUGACCAGAUUCAGAGAGAUUUUGAACAACUGGUGUGUGCCCUGCCUUCUAGCUGAAAUAACACUUUAUGAUUUGCGAUGACACUAAAGAGAAAAUUAUCUUUUGAAUAUCUUUCCAUUGGUUGAGUCAAGGUCAAAAUGGCAAGGAAAAGAAACAAGCAUGGCUGUAGUAAGAAGGUCACAGGAAGGGUUAGUGAUUACUGUCACCUUGAACAGUUGAUGAUGCCGCCAGCUUGGUCCAGCUCUAUCACAUCCUCCAUCCUGAUGGCCAGUCAGCUCAAGAGGCCAAAGAGCAGGCUGCUGA